This 28-nucleotide small RNA is filed under the name Bombyx mori (domestic silkworm). Its description in RNAcentral is "ovarian small RNA-37539". The record is from RNAcentral. Lineage: Eukaryota; Metazoa; Arthropoda; Insecta; Lepidoptera; Bombycidae.
UUCUGGGAUGCCUCGUUGUGGGCCAAAU